RNAcentral lists this long non-coding RNA (1081 nucleotides) under Oryctolagus cuniculus (rabbit). RNAcentral's name for it is "lncRNA (ENSOCUG00000029776.1)". Lineage: Eukaryota; Metazoa; Chordata; Mammalia; Lagomorpha; Leporidae. The record is from RNAcentral.
GUUUAUUCCACUAAGUACAGAAGGGAAUUCCUUUUACUUGCAACUCAUUUAUGUGAUGUCUUAGUCAUUUCAUGCUUCUAUGAACAAAAUACCAGUUAGCUGGAAUAUUGGAAGUCCAAGAUCCAGAUACCAGCAGAUCUGGUUACUGAUGAAAGCAUUCUUCCUGGGUUGCAGAUGAUGGUCUUCCCAUUGUAGCCUCACAUGGCCUAGAGAGAAAUAAUCUUUGUUUCUUCCUAUAAGGGUGCUAUACUCAUUAGAUUCUACUAAUGAUCUAACUAUCCCCCAAAGGAUCCACAACCUAAUACUAUCACAUUGGGGGUGAAGAUUUCAUUACAAGCUAAUCAUUUAUAUCACCACUAGUCUCUGGACCUAAAUUCAUACGUUGAACAAGCCCCAUUGUGGUAAUAUUGGGAGGUGGGGUCAUUUGAAGAUAGUUAGGUGACAUAAAAUUUUGAAAAGAAGGAAAGAAAAAAUAUAAAAGCCAUCUCAUUUUUCCUAUUUUUUUUUCCUCCUUUUUUAUUUUUUUAGUCUUGGCACAGAGCAAGCGGGAAGUUACUUAGCACGGUUCCGGGUUUCCUCGCGCCCCGCCCGGCCCCCCUCCCACCCCCACACAGCUACAGGCUCUUGGUCCCCCAGUCGGUCUGUCCCGCAGCAAGCAACCCGGAGUCCGUCGGUCCGCGCUGGGCCCGCCCGCCGCGCAUCUGCCCUUCUCGGCUGACUCCGCCCCGCAUCUGUCCGGACCCGCCUCGCGUCUGAGCUGACCCACCGCGCGUCUGCCAGUCAGUCCCUCCGGACCUGCCGCGAGUCUCAGGCUGCCGAAAUCACCGCGCCUCAGUCGGAGCUCGAGGCCUGUGUUUCUGCAGAAAACGGGUCGCGAGGCCUCUGUCAGCAAUGCUAGAUGUGCGGAGCCAGGCAGCUGCUGGAUGAUUUCUUACAAUUGAACGCCUCGACAGUGAUUCUGAGUCUGCUUUUAGCUUCCCUUCGCCUGCCUUGGCUUUUUCUGUACGUGAACAGCUGCUUGGCCCAUAGCUUAGAGAAAGCAGCCUUUUUUUUUUUUUUUUUUUCCUCUCCCAAGAGAACC